RNAcentral lists this ribosomal RNA (491 nucleotides) under uncultured bacterium. Its description in RNAcentral is "partial 16S ribosomal RNA". It matches the Rfam family "Bacterial small subunit ribosomal RNA", at positions 28 to 507 of the family's 1533-position model. The record is from RNAcentral.
GAUGAACGCUGGCUACAGGCUUAACACAUGCAAGUCGAGGGGAAACGACGGGGAAGCUUGCUUCCCCGGGCGUCGACCGGCGCACGGGUGAGUAACGCGUAUCCAACCUGCCUCUGACUGAGGGAUAACCCGUCGAAAGUCGGCCUAAUACCUCAUGGUAUCGUCUGCGGGCAUCCAACGACGAUUAAAGAUUUCAUCGGUCAGGGAUGGGGAUGCGUCUGAUUAGCUUGUUGGCGGGGUAACGGCCCACCAAGGCUACGAUCAGUAGGGGUUCUGAGAGGAAGGUCCCCCACAUUGGAACUGAGACACGGUCCAAACUCCUACGGGAGGCAGCAGUGAGGAAUAUUGGUCAAUGGGCGAGAGCCUGAACCAGCCAAGUAGCGUGCAGGAAGACGGCCCUAUGGGUUGUAAACUGCUUUUAUACGGGGAUAAAGUGAGGGACGUGUCCCUCAUUGCAGGUACCGCAUGAAUAAGGACCGGCUAAUUCCGUG